ACUUCAAGAUAAGAUUUCCCACCGCAAGGGUAAGACCCCAGAAAGACUAUCUGGUUGAUAGGUCGAAGGUGUAAGUGCAGCAAUGUAUUUAGCUUAUCGAUACUAAUAGGUCGAGGACUUGACCAAUAUUUAUU
This 134-nucleotide ribosomal RNA is filed under the name Clostridioides difficile. RNAcentral describes it as "partial 23S ribosomal RNA". It matches the Rfam family "Bacterial large subunit ribosomal RNA", at positions 2796 to 2925 of the family's 2925-position model. Lineage: Bacteria; Bacillati; Bacillota; Clostridia; Peptostreptococcales; Peptostreptococcaceae. The record is from RNAcentral.